AGCAGUAGCCGCGGUAAUACGUAGGUCCCGAGCGUUGUCCGGAUUUAUUGGGCGUAAAGCGAGCGCAGGCGGUUAGAUAAGUCUGAAGUUAAAGGCUGUGGCUUAACCAUAGUACGCUUUGGAAACUGUUUAACUUGAGUGCAAGAGGGGAGAGUGGAAUUCCAUGUGUAGCGGUGAAAUGCGUAGAUAUAUGGAGGAACACCGGUGGCGAAAGCGGCCCUCUGGCUUGUAACUGACGCUGAGGCUCGAAAGCGUGGGGAGCAAACAGGAUUAGAUACCCCCGUAGUCCCUGUCUCUUAUACA
Molecule: ribosomal RNA, 303 nt
Filed under: uncultured bacterium
Lineage: Bacteria
Description: partial 16S ribosomal RNA
Rfam family: Bacterial small subunit ribosomal RNA
Source: RNAcentral